Triticum aestivum (bread wheat) is the source of this 420-nucleotide long non-coding RNA. RefSeq lists it as uncharacterized. Lineage: Eukaryota; Viridiplantae; Streptophyta; Magnoliopsida; Poales; Poaceae. The transcript is spliced from 3 exons. The record is from RefSeq and is a predicted model, not a curated record.
CAAAGCUCGACCUAUGCUGGAGCGUUGGGCAGACGACAUUGAUGUUGGAGCACUGGAAGGGAAAUGUUAUUUAAGGACCCUACUGGCAUGGGCCAAUGCUCCUAGUCCUAGGUGUUGCACGCACGCGGAUCCUCCACCCAGCCCAUUGCACAUCUCUACUUAACUACACCUGUCCUUUAUCUGCGUGUGUGUGUGCAUAUGCCAGCUGAUCACGGAUCACCUUAUUGCCCCGCUUCACUCCACUCCACUCCAUUUCCCUUCGGUCAAGUCCUCGUUUCUGCCUGCCAAGCAUCUUCUAGGACUUGCGCUUCAUCUGUGGUGACGCCCAGGCAUCAUCUUCUUGCACUCUUCGUCGUCAACCUUGGUCCAGUAGGCUGUUCGGAUGGCUGGGAGAGAAGCUGACUUCCGCUGGAUGGAAGU